GGAGGAGAGGGUAAUUGCUGAAGUCCAGAAGCUUCAGAGUGCUGGGGCUACAUUGCCUGCUGAUCUAAAGACAAGCAUAUUUGCAAAGAGACCGAUUGGAACACCGCGCAAGACUCCUACGGGUUCUACUCCGAGGAGUUCUGCAUUUUCGAGGGUUAUUUCCGAGAAGGAAAAGGAGGGUGGGAUUACUAUAGAUCAUCUGCAUAAACUGAAUCAGAAGAACAUUUCUGCUUGGAAUAUGAAAAGGCUGAUGAAUAUGGUUAGAAAUGGUGUACUGUCAACUUUGGAUGAGAAGUUACCACAAUCGACUUUCGAGGAUGAUACUGCUGUGCAGAUCACUAGUGAAAAAAAGGCGAAAGCUGCAGCCAAGCAGAUUUUUAAC
Molecule: unclassified non-coding RNA, 382 nt
Filed under: Hevea brasiliensis (rubber tree)
Lineage: Eukaryota; Viridiplantae; Streptophyta; Magnoliopsida; Malpighiales; Euphorbiaceae
Source: RNAcentral